Long non-coding RNA from Arabidopsis lyrata subsp. lyrata, 163 nucleotides. RefSeq lists it as uncharacterized. Lineage: Eukaryota; Viridiplantae; Streptophyta; Magnoliopsida; Brassicales; Brassicaceae. The transcript has 3 exons. The record is from RefSeq and is a predicted model, not a curated record.
GGAGAAUAACUUCUUACUGUGGAAACAAUGUUUUAAUGAGUGAAUAUGGCUGUUCACGUCUAUACAUUGAUCCAAUCUUUUAUGAACUUGACAUUCCAAGUUAUCUGCGAUCAUUCGACGAUGGAUCAAGUGACGAAGAGGAUGUGAUGAUGGAGAUGGUUGA